GAUAAACAUAGCAGUUUCUCUGAAACUAUGUUUAUAAAAGAAUGGGUUAACCCUAGCUGGACCUGGCACCCAGACCACUUCAUUAAGCUGAAGUGGUCUGGGUGCCUAGAGUGGUCCUUUAACAUUUUUCAGACUGGUUAUGAUGCCUUUGAGACCAUAUGGUAGUCAACGAAUGAAAAUUACCCCCAGGAUGGCAUACCAUUUGCAAAAGUACACAACCUAAGGUAUUGCAAAUGGGGUCUGUACAGUCUUUUCUAGUAGCCACUUAGUCAAAAACAUUGGCCAUAGUUGGUGCUCAUAUUUAUGUGUGAAAAAUGCAAAAAACAUAUGAAUGCCAACUUUAAUUCAAGCCUUAUAUUUAACUCUAACUUUUUAAAACACUAUAAAACCUGUACCUGAACACUAACAUUAGUGUUUCAAAACAGUAAAAUGUGUCACAAUAAUUUCAUCAGUGAAAAUGCACAAAAAAAAAAACCAAGCACUUUCACAGACGAUCUUAUCAUAAGGUUUUUACUUGCAAACUAAAUUCAAAUUUCUGGGUUGUCAGGCAGGUCCUCAAACUGUGGUCAAUAAAAUUACUUAAG
Molecule: non-coding RNA, 584 nt
Organism: Pelobates cultripes (western spadefoot toad)
Lineage: Eukaryota; Metazoa; Chordata; Amphibia; Anura; Pelobatidae
Source: the annotation of a GenBank genome assembly